Molecule: ribosomal RNA, 253 nt
Filed under: uncultured bacterium
Lineage: Bacteria
Description: partial 16S ribosomal RNA
Rfam family: Bacterial small subunit ribosomal RNA
Source: RNAcentral
UACGGGGGGAGCAAGCGUUGUUCGGAUUUACUGGGCGUAAAGGGCGCGUAGGCGGCGCAACAAGUCACUUGUGAAAUCUCCGGGCUUAACCCGGAGCGGCCAAGUGAUACUGUCGUGCUAGAGUGCGGAAGGGGCUACUGGAAUUCUCGGUGUAGCGGUGAAAUGCGCAGAUAUCAGGAGGAACACCGGUGGCGAAGGCGGGUCUCUGGGCCGUAACUGACGCUGAGGCGCGAAAGCGUGGGGAGCAAACAGG